UAAAGUGGCGCACGGGUGAGUAACACGUGAAUAAUCUACCUCCGAGUGGGGAAUAACUGAGAGAAAUCUUAGCUAAUACCGCAUAAUACCCACGGGUCAAAGCAGUAAUGCGCUUGGAGAGGAGUUCGCGGCCGAUAAGUUAGUUGGCGGGGUAAUGGCCCACCAAGACGAUGAUCGGUAUCCGGCCUGAGAGGGCGCACGGACACACUGGAACUGAAACACGGUCCAG
RNAcentral lists this ribosomal RNA (229 nucleotides) under uncultured bacterium. RNAcentral's name for it is "partial 16S ribosomal RNA". It matches the Rfam family "Bacterial small subunit ribosomal RNA", at positions 91 to 334 of the family's 1533-position model. The record is from RNAcentral.